RNAcentral lists this ribosomal RNA (397 nucleotides) under uncultured Lactobacillus sp. RNAcentral's name for it is "bacterial SSU rRNA". It matches the Rfam family "Bacterial small subunit ribosomal RNA", at positions 144 to 524 of the family's 1533-position model. Lineage: Bacteria; Bacillati; Bacillota; Bacilli; Lactobacillales; Lactobacillaceae. The record is from RNAcentral.
UAACACCUGGGAACAGAUGCUAAUACCCGGGAUAACACAGAUGAUGCCUAUCUAACUGUUUUAAAAGAUGGUUCUGCUAUCACUCUUGGAUGGACCUGCGGUGCAUUUAGCUAGUUGGUAGGGUAACGGGCCUACCAAGGCGAUGAUGCAUAGCCGAGUUGAGAGACUGAUCGGCCACAUUGGGACUGAGACACGGCCCAAACUCCUACGGGAGGCAGCAGUAGGGAAUCUUCCACAAUGGACGCAAGUCUGAUGGAGCAACGCCGCGUGAGUGAAGAAGGGUUUCGGCUCGUAAAGCUCUGUUGUUGGUGAAGAAGGACAGGGGUAGUAACUGACCUUUGUUUGACGGUAAUCAAUUAGAAAGUCACGGCUAACUACGUGCCAGCAGCCGGGUAAU